This 579-nucleotide unclassified non-coding RNA is filed under the name Hevea brasiliensis (rubber tree). The record is from RNAcentral. Lineage: Eukaryota; Viridiplantae; Streptophyta; Magnoliopsida; Malpighiales; Euphorbiaceae.
AAAAAAAAAAAAAAAACAUGUAUGUCUUUUCUCACUCUUUAAAUUUCUGUUGAGUGAUUAAACAAAUGAAGGAAAAUUUUGUUAUGUGUUUAUAAAUAUUUUUCCUUUUUCAUAUUUUUUUGCCGUGUAGAAGGCUGAUGCAGGGAAAAAAGGAAGAAAAUAAUUGCAAUUUUCCUUAUAUGUGGCCAUACCUAAUUAAUGGAUAGAACUAAUGGUGUUAAUUUAACAAGGUUUCAGGACUUGAUAAAAGGAAAAAAAGGAUCUGGACUUUAUUGAUAAUAAGUGUACAGUAUAAGGACUUUUGACGUAGUUAAUUCUCUUGUUGUAAAAUUGUGUGUUUAGAAGAAACCUUUCAUUAUUUUUUUUUUCUCUUUAUUAUACUUGUUGUCUCAGCUCUUUUAAUUUUGUUAGGUCUGAGGCUAAACUUGUGAAAGAAGUUGUGGAACAUAUUUUGAGGAAAUUGAAUCAUGCAUCCUCAGGAGAUUCAAAGGGUCUGAUUGGAAUAGACUCGCACAUUAGACUGAUUAAAAAUUUGUUAUGCAUUGGGUUGACAAGUGUUCGUAUUGUAGGAAUUUGGGG